Molecule: unclassified non-coding RNA, 400 nt
Filed under: uncultured fungus
Lineage: Eukaryota; Fungi
Description: sequence contains ITS1
Source: RNAcentral
CUGUUAUCCCUAGAGUAACUUUUAUCCGUUGAGUGACGGCCUUUCCACUCAGCACCGUCAGAUCACUAAGACCGACUUUCGUCCCUGCUCGACUUGUAGGUCUCACAGUCAAGCUUGCUUCUGCUUUUACACUCGUCGGCUGAUUUCCAACCAGCCUGAGCAAACCUUUGCGCGCCUCCGUUACCUUUUAGGAGGCGACCGCCCCAGUCAAACUGCCCACCUGAUACUGUCCGGUCCCCGGAUAACGGGUGACCGUUAGAAUCCUAGCUCUGAAAGAGUGGUAUCUCACCGUUGGCUCGUAUCAACCCGCAAGCUGAUAAUCAAAGCCUCCCACCUAUCCUGCGCAUUCAGAGCCCGGACACAAUACCAAGCUACAGUAAAGCUUCAUAGGGUCUUUCUG